This 4126-nucleotide long non-coding RNA is filed under the name Homo sapiens (human). RNAcentral describes it as "HSALNT0376431". Lineage: Eukaryota; Metazoa; Chordata; Mammalia; Primates; Hominidae. The record is from RNAcentral.
UCCCCAAAUUCCUUUUUAUCUUUGCUAUAAUUUAAAAAUGUACUGUUGAUUUGUUAUCUAGUUUACUAAUCCUGUUUUCUGCUAAGCUCAUCUAAUUUCAGAUAUUGUGCUCAUUACGAUUAGAAUUUCUAUUUGAUUUCCAUUUGUUUUAUAGAGAUUACAAUUUUAUAAUGAAAUGCUUAAUAUUUUCAUUUAUUUUCUCUUAUUUCUCCUACUUUUUUGAAUAUUUUCAUUAUAGCUAUUGUAAAGUCCCUGUCAUCUAAUGCCAAUAUUGGAUCAACUUUAAGUCAGUUUAUACAACGUGUAUUUCUCUUUGUUUUGAGCCUGUGGUCUUAUCUUCUUGUGUAUCUAGUAAUUUUCAAUGGAAUGUCUUCAAUUGUAUAUAAUAUAUAAGUGACAUUCCAGAUAUUAUUUAGUCUUGAGGUUUAACCUUCAUCUCUGCCAGGUAGAUAAAGUGGGGCUGAUCAUUUUAAUUAAGAACUGCAGAAUAUGGGGGUCAGUUAGCCUCUAGUUGUUUUUUGUUUUUUGUUUUUUUUCUUGAGAAGGAGUUUUGCUCUUGUUGCCCAGGCUGGAGUGCAAUGGUGCAAACUUGGCUCACUGCAACCUCCACCUCCUAGGUUCAAGUGAUUCUCCUGCUUCAGCCUCCGGAGUAGCUGGGAUUACAGGUGCCCACCACCAUGCCUGGCUAAUUUUUUGUAUAUAUACAUAUAUAUAUUUUUGUAGUAGAGACAGGGUUUCACCCUGUUGAGCAGCUGGUCUCGAACUCCUGACCUCAAGUGAUCCACCCAUCUUGGCCUCCCAAAGUAUUGGGAUUACAGGUGUGAGCCACCGUGCCCAGCCUCUAGUUCUUAUAAAACAGCUGCAAAAUCCAUCCUGCUUUUCAGACUUUUUGUUUGUUUUUAAUCUCCAAACCUGUGCAGUCACAGAUAUCCAUAAGGCACUACUGGAUGUGUACUUAAUGCUCCCUCCCCUCAGUAUCAACCAAAAAUCUGUUGUUUUUCUUUAAAUACCAGACAAUGGCUCUCCAUGAGUAAAAAGCUAGAAUUUUCAGAUUUCUGCCUGCAGAUAAUCAACACAUGCCUACGAGAUAAAAGUGGCUGCAAAAAUAAGCUCUCCUUUCAGGUUCUUCACUUCAACUGUUUUAGUCUCUCUAGUCUUCUUACUCCAAUGAAUAAAAGAUUCUCGAGAAUCCAAAAUCAAGCCUCAGAAGAUAGAACAAUAAAUAUAUAAUAUAAAAAUUGACAGGAAAAAGAGUAAAGAAAGUCUCAGAUUACCAGAAUGUCAGGAAAUCCAGCUGGAAAACAAGAGAUCUAAUCUAUAUCAAUCAUGUGAUUAGGUGCAAUAUUCAUUUACGUAUAUAAAUAUUAUCUACACAUACAUGUUAACUCUGGGAUUAUCUUUCUUCCUUCAAGAGUUGAAAAUAUAAGAAAUAGAAAUGAAGUGUGUUUUACUACAUGCCAGCAUACAUUUUUUAGUCUUAUGAAGAAGACAUAUUAUUACAGUAAAAAUCUGUUUUUUGUUUUUUUUUACCACCCUUCAUUCUUUUUUAGUGUUUCUGGUAGGAAAAUAUUUCCAAUUUCUUUUAGAAAAUCAUUCUUCCCCUAUUCAUGACAUAUCCUUAGAAGCAGACCUAGAUUGUCCUAAGGCGGUCAGUAUAUUUCACUCCAUUGGUCACAGUAAUCAUUUUAGAGAUAAAUGAAUAAGCACAUGACCUCCAGUAGUCCAAUUCAAGUUUAAAAGACCCAAUUCUAGAAUUUCUGUUUUUAUUUUUGAUAAAAAACUUUUUUUUCCUUCUAGCCUUCAACUGGUAAGUUGAGAAGGCAGAAGCUUCUACCUCAUGAAUGUUAAGCCAAUACAUAGAGGAGAGCAAACAAAACCUAGAUACAGAACAAAAGUUUUGGGGUCCUACGCAAGAAUUUGCUGAAGUUAAAAGAGAAAUGAGCUACUAUUACACACGACAUGGAUGAAUCUCAAAAUCAUCAUGUUGAAAGAAGCCAGACACAAAAGAGGAGAAGACUCGACAUUUGCAUUGGCUUCUCAAAAGGGUUUCAACUACACAAAAAGUGUUUAAAAAUCCAGUUAUAUGGAGAAACAAGAUCAAUUUAUUGUCAAAAGACAGAAUUAUUCCUCUUUUGCAUCAACCAGGCUUGACAUAACUGUAAUCUCAUGGAAAUGUCUGCUACUGUAAUCAAGAAUUUGCAUGUAGAAGGAAUGCAUCACAGAAUAUAUGACAUCUUGCUAUGUCUACUGUACUAAAGAAUUAAAGAGGUUUGAAAAUAAAUACUGAAACAAAUCAGAAAGGAACCUCAAUUUUAUUAAACUAAAAUAUCAUAGCUAGGAACAUCUCAAAUUGAGAAUAAAGUUUAUAUAAUAUUUCAGAGUCAUAUGAAUGUCAUAAAAUAAUAAAAAUGUACCAUAUAAUUAUUUAAAAAGCACAAGUCUAUAAAUUGGAAACAAUGACCAGCUAAGAGAUGACAGGUAGGCUGAAACUCAACCUAUUUCCAAACCACUAAAGAAGACAUAAAUCAACUUAAAGGGAAAAUUACAUUUGUAGGUUUAUAAACAUAUUUUUAAAAACCACUCCUAUAAAGCAAAAGAUAUAAAAAGAAAACUUGAGAAAUGAUAAAAGGAUAAAGGAUAAAAAAUUAACAAAGCUAUAUGUUAGGCCACUUUGGUUCAUGCAAUUUUCUUUUGUUUCUCUCUAAAAUGGUAUAUCAAUUUUUAUUUUUCACAAACUUCUUUCAAUUAAGAAAGAAAAUACAUUUGCACAGGAAAAAGCAGUUUUUCAUCAACUUUUUCUAGUCAGUGAACAAAAGGCUGAGAAGAAAUCUUUUUUUUAAAAAAUGGUUACAUUAUAGUAUAAUGUAUAGAUUAUAUAAAUCAUGCAUUAUCUUACAGACAUAUAUAAGAAUGUAUAGGGAUAAAAUGUAUAAAAUAGAAGAACCAAAUGCUUGCAACAGAAAAUAAAAGUGUAAAGUUUAGUUCUUUUUCUGUACUAUAAAAAAACCAGCCAUCCUGAAGGCCUGUGCCAUUCUUAGGCCACUUUCAGGCAGAUUCUGAAAAGCUGGAAAGUAAACACAGGUGUUUUAAAACUAGAGCUGCUGUCACGGACAACCACAAACACCCUUAACUCUGAUGUGGCAACGCCUCUUUCCCGCCCUCUGUUUUUUAAAGCAAUACCCGAAAAGAAAAUGUCAAAUGUUUCACCUUUCAACACCUCAGAAUAAGUAAGAGCUUAAAGUGUUGUUCUGUAAUCUCUAGCAAAUAGAUCACUUUUUCACUACUUUUAAAUGUAGCCAAUUAAAUAUUAAUUACAUAAGAUAAAAAGUGGAAUUUCUUUAAAAAUUUCCACCACCCCAACCUUACACACCCUCCCUCUUCCACCAUAUUUUACAGCAGUUUCUUUAGUUCUUAAAGCAAAAUCUUUUGUUUGACCACAUUUAGAUUAUUUCUUCUAUCGUAUAGUUUUUACAGAAAAUAUCUGAUUUUUUCUUGGAAAGUUUAACGUACAACUCAGAAAAAUGCAGAGCUUUAACUGAAAUAUGUAAUUCUCUUUUAGAAAACUGUAUCCUAAUAGGUACCUAAGUAGGAGUAGAAAUCAUUUACAGAGAAAAAUAGAAGACAGAAAGUAAAAUAAUUCCCAAACUGCUACAAAACAUGGAACUCAGGUUUUGGAAUCAAUUCAUAUAUGGAAUCAAUUUUCAAACACUGAAAUAUCAAUCUAUUACUUAUAAUUGUAUAAAAUUGCCCUUAAAAAACAGGGAUAAAAUUCAUUAGGAAUUGAUAAGUUACAACCUAACUAGUAAAUAUAAGAACUAAAGAAAAAUUAAUUCUUUAUAUUUCACCAUAUACAUCAAGAAACAGGUACUGUUAAGGGAAUGGCCAAGUAAGUAUCAAUCAGUUCCCAAAUUAAUCUUGGAGGUUAUUUUGAGAGGUUUAGUCCUACCCUCAGAAUUUCACAAAUAAUUCCUUUGUGCAAUCCAUGUAAGAAAUGUUCUCUGAAAUCACACUUGUUUGUAUAUUUGAUAAUUUUUUUUAAAAAACUGGUAGUUUCUUUGUGCUGUAAGCUUUAAAUAAAGAGAUGUCUGCCUUUUUAAAUAAUAAAAUAAAAAUUAAUGAAUAGGAA